UCUUCAGCAUAGCAACAGCAGCGUAGCUGAACAUCUUACGGAUGGCCCAGGGCUCCAAAGGCUCGUUUCCUAAGUGAGAGAGAGCCUGGCUGAAGCUGUAUUACCAUUCAUUCUCCAGCCUCCGAAGUCUCAAAGCAUCACUUCCACCAUACUCUAACUGUCAAGACAAACACAAAGGCCCAGAAACUGCCAGACUGUCUUCUGAAGUGGCUAUAAUAUUUACACUCCCAUCAGCAGUGUAGAAGGGGUCUCACUAUGUUGUCUGGAGUGCUGUGGUGGAGUGGAGUGGCUAUUCACAGCUGAGUUUGCAGAGUAAACCACUACCCUGAAAUCUGGAAAGGCAGGUGCACCCACAGAUCCUCAGCUGAGAUCCAAUUACCUGAAAUAGAAGCUGCCAUUAGGAACACUUAAAAGAGCCUGUUCUGCUGGGACACAGAAUCACUUGCUCCAUCUCAUACAUUGAUGAUGAUUAAUUUGUAUGUGUACCUUCCAAAAAAGAUGGUUGUGUUUGAAUGGAGGCCUUCUGGACAGGAAAAUAUACAGUGAACCCACAUGUUGAAGCUUUCUAGUAUAAUAAAAAUUUCAACUGUUCUGUUGAAUCAUCUGCCUGAUUGGAGGCUACAGAAAAGAUGUCAUCUUAGGAGUGCUUGCUCUGAGUGAGGCUCAUCUUCAAAUCUGAAUGACCACAAGGAGAUUUGAUUAUACAUGUGAACACCUCAGAAGGCACAGCCCACCCAGAAGGCAGACAGGUCAGGCUGCUUUUUCUUCAUUGCUUGGAUUCAAUCCUCCGGGCGGCUCAGGCUCAAACAUAACUUAAGCAUGAUUAAACUUUAGAAGAAGCUGCCAGGAAGACUGUGAAAUCUUCAUGCCCAAGGAUCCCUAAAAUUAGGAGCAACAACCACUUGGCUCAGACGGUUUAUGGAGGCAAAGGUUUGGAUGGGAUUAGAGAUUUCUAAAUGUGAGUUCGUGUCCUCUGCCAGACCACCUUACUUCCACCAUUCCUCAGCAAAUCAAGAAAAACAGGAGAAAAGACAUGCCUUUCCAUAAGUUAAAUCUAUUCUGUUUUAAUUCUAUAUUAUAUCUGCUGUACAACUUCUUUUGUUUGUAACACCAUAUUGUUGCUAGUAACUGGAAAUUAAUUUUCACAUGCCUCAGCUUAGAAAAAUAAAAAGCAGCCCUGCAUCAAU
This 1187-nucleotide long non-coding RNA is filed under the name Homo sapiens (human). RNAcentral describes it as "long intergenic non-protein coding RNA 635". Lineage: Eukaryota; Metazoa; Chordata; Mammalia; Primates; Hominidae. The record is from RNAcentral.